GCCGAAGUGGCGGAAUUGGCAGACGCGCUAGGUUCAGAUCCUAGUGGGAUUUAUUUCCCGUGGAGGUUCAAGUCCUCUCUUCGGCA
Molecule: transfer RNA, 86 nt
Filed under: Blastopirellula sp.
Lineage: Bacteria; Pseudomonadati; Planctomycetota; Planctomycetia; Pirellulales; Pirellulaceae
Also listed under: 1 other name
Description: tRNA-Leu
Rfam family: tRNA
About the family: Transfer RNA (tRNA) molecules are approximately 80 nucleotides in length. Their secondary structure includes four short double-helical elements and three loops (D, anti-codon, and T loops).
Source: RNAcentral